UUUUUUUUUUUUUUUUUUUUUUUUUUGGUUGGUUUUAAUGAUUCCUCCUCCUACUGAGAAUUUUCUUGUUUAUAAAUGCAGGAGUCGACACUUUUCCCAAACUACCUUUUUCUUUUCAGCUCUCACAAUAAUCUAGAGAUGGAACCAGUGUUGGCGCGCAGUCGUUCUAGUUAAGAACUUGACUGCUUCUGGGAGUGGUUGGCUAGACAGCUCUGAGUCUAGAAUAUCAUUUAAUUAAGACCUGCGGGAGAACCCUCUUCCAAAAUAUACUUCGAAAAUAUACUUUUCUUCUUAUUAUAAAAUGAGUGAAGUGUAUGAAACAAGGAGAGUAUGAAGAAGAGAAUAAAAAUCACCUAUAACUCCCCCCACACUGAUAACAUUUGGUGUAGGUUUUGUUUAUAUCUUUCCAGUCAUUUUUCUAGCCAUAUAUACUGAACAUAAAUGAAAUCGUAUAUACCACUUAGAAUUCUUUUUUUCACUAACCCAUUACAUCUUAAGUAUUUGCUCAUAUGUAUUGUCUACAGUUCCAUUUCUAAUGACUACGCAACAUGUACGUAUGUAUAUUUUCUGUGCAUGUACAAUGCUUUAUUGACCCCAUUUCCAGCCACUGAAAUGAAGCAGUUUUAUCCAUUUCAGGCAGGGGGGCAGUAAAUAUAUUUUUGGUUAAAUGUUGGUGUGUAUUCUUGAUUAUUUCCUUAGGGACAUUUUUAGAACUAGAAUGUCCACGGUGAAGCAGAAGGAGUCUGAGGAAAAGAUCAGCAAUACCUCAAGAACAAGUUUGUCCUGCAAAGUGGGAGAAAAUACAGAUUUUUCUCACUAAUGAAAUUAAUAAUUUCUUUCUAUUUAAAAAAUUGGUAAUGACAAAUUCAAUCAGAGGUUCUUUGAAAUAAUCGAUAUGUUUUUCUCCUUGUGGGUUUCUUAACCACAAAACCUAAUCCUAAUAGGAUUAAUAUAGGCUAUUUUUUCUUUCCCAAUUGGCACAUAACUACCUAAGACUUCAUGUAAUCAGUUGAGAUGCUACAAAUGUAUUGCCUGUCAACUCCAAUAAAAAAAGAGGGCAGUUAAUUAAAAGGAUGUCUUGCUGUUAAACAAACUUGCAGUCAAUUGCUUGUAAGUAACAUUUAGUUUGAUAUGUAGUCAGAGGGCAAGAAAAUCAUUGUUCAGAAAGGACUAGCUGUUUAGAACUAUGAAAAGAGGAGUGACUUUAGUGAAGUGGAGAUGAAUGACCUAUUAGUUGGUAUGAUGUCUUCCUUUUAAAAAAUAUAUUCAGGGAGUUCCUGUCAUGGCCCAGCAGAAACGAAUAUGACUAGGAACAAUGAGGUUGCGGGUUCAAUCCCUGGCCUCGCUCAGUGGGUUAAGGACCUAGGGUCUAAUCGGAGCUGUAGCCACCGGCCUACGCCAGAGCCACAGCAACUCAGGAUCCAAACCGCGUCUGCAACCUACACCACAGCUCACGGCAACGCCAGAUCGUUAACCCACUGAGCAAGGGCAGGGACCGAACCUGCCACCUCAUGGUUCCUAGUCAGAUUUGUUAACCACUGUGCCACGACGGGAACUCCCCCUCACUCUGUCUUUUAUGCUUGCCUGCCAGAUGUCAGUCCUCCUUCCGCGCAGAUCUGAUUAUAUCAUUUCUUUAGACACCAGUCGUUCAAAUUCUUCUCAUCCAUUCUGUCCUCCUUAACCUAACCUGUGAGGCCUCUGUACCUCGAACCUUGCCUGCCAUUCUAGGUAUAUUUUCUUCAUCCUCCUCUUCUCUGUGUUCUAGCCUAAGCAAGACACUGCUCCUUCUUUGAUUCGAGCGCUCAUUUCUGGGCCCUCAUAUUCUGCAUUUUUUUUAAAAGCUAAAAAGGUGUUCUUUAUUUCUGCCAACGUCAUUUCACAUGUUGGGAUCCUUUUGUUCUUCAAAUCCCUUCUCUUCCAUGCAGUUUUCUCGGAGUAGGAUUUCCCUUCCUUUGAAUUUCCUGAAUUCUUCCCGCGUAUGCGUGUCCGUGUGGGCGAGUGUCUGUAAGGGAGGGAAAAGAACUUUUAGCCCUUGGUCUCGUAUUUCAUUUAUUUAUGUGCUUGUCUUAUCUAGUCCCCCAAAGAUAGGAGCCUUGCAUUUUGAUUGUUGUAACUCCUAUAAGAGCUGAUCGACUCUCUUAAAUAUAGUAUAUUAUGAAUAAAUGUUUCUGGAGUGAAGGAACGUUUCAACCUCUAAAAAAUAUCGGAGAUGUAAAAAACUAAACUCACGGAUGGCAGGCUUUAUGUCAGUGUCAAGAGAGUUCUCAGGAGUUUCGCAACUUUUCAUUUCAAUCAAUCCAAGUGCAAGUCUUAGAGGAAGGAAUCUUGAGAGAAUUGUGGCAAGCCUGCCAUCAGCUUCAUUGCAGUGUCUUCAUUUGCAUGAUAUUUUAUACCGUUUGAAAGUACUUUCACACCAUAUCUGACCCUCUGGUGUAUCCAGGUAGGGUUAGGAAGGGAUAGCUACUCUACUCUCUUAUCAGGUCAUAAAUGAGGGAAGUUUGUUCUGGAAAGUCCUAGUGGCUUGGCCAAUGUUAGGUCAUUAGAUAGUGGCAGCACCUAGCAAAGGAACAUGUAGGCUGGCGGUAACUAUUUGAAGAGCUAUCAUGUGAAAGAAGGUUAAAGCUUAUUUUUAUUCUUUAUGUCCUCAUACAACAGAAAAUAUGUGAGCAAUUUAAGCUCAAUUAAAGAGAAAAAGUGUUUUCACCCAUCCAUAUUCCAAGAUGGUGUCGACUGCCUCUGUUAUUCCCAUGGAGCUCAGGGACAGCGACCUGGCCGACCAGGGGUAGGACAUUUUGUUGCAAAGAGCCACUCAAAAGGCGCAGGUUGACCAAGGCCCCUUCUCAUUUAGCAAUUCUGUGAUUCCUUUUCAGGUUAACCCUGUGCUCCUCUAGCCAUAAUGUUAAAUUUUGAUUUCUGACUUUCUUGAGAAUUUGACCUUAAGCAGAGGUAGCCCGGGUGUGGGACAAUCCACAGUCCAGAUCCCAAAUCUUGCUCUAAACGGGGACCCCCGCCUUAUCCUAGCCUCAUGAAUGACUCUCAGUGGACCCCCUGCAGGUGAGGACGUAAGAGAACAUCUUCUCCCGCAGUCCUGCGGGGCCUAGACUUUCCCGCCCAGGAAGAAGUGAAGUUUGCAGAAAAUCUCACAGAUGCCCUCGUCGCAUGUCGCCAGCCUAGUCUGGCGACUCCAGGCACCUGUCUGCUGUUACGGACGUGGCGGGCCAGCUCAGCAUUCUCUGAGAAUGGCAUAUUCUGUUGGAAGGAGGUACGUAAUUCUAAUGAGCUCCAAACUUUUCCUUGAAACGGGGAGUUGCUUAAAAAGGCAACUGCUGCAGAACAGCCAAAUGGAAAUCAUGAUAUUUCACUGAACUCAGAACCAAAUCUGCCUUUUUUUUCUUUAUAGAAACAUUUUGUGUGCCAUGUGCCUUGGGAGCCAAAAAGAAAUCAUACUUUGGCUCCCUGUUCCACUUUGCUAAGCUCAGAUACUGUAAAUACCCUCCUCUCCUCUCAUAACAUUAAAUUUUUCAUGAAUUCAUCAUAAAGGAGCCACUUUGUAGGUUUGGCUGGUACCAGUGAAAGACUUCAUUUUCUGUUUCACAGUAACUUUUCAGUGCAAAAAAACUAUGGGUGCAAUGUUGAAAGACUAGAAUUAUUCAUCAAGUCUUCGCUGCCUGCAAAUUUAAGAGAAUUUUUCUGAAACCUAUCUGGGAGAAUGCAGACACGGACAUGCAUAUUUUAGACGGUGCUACGUCUCAGCUGUAGCCACCUAAUCUUUCUCAGGGGAAUUGGGGGUAAAAGAAGGCAUGUGCUUUCUCAUUGCUUUAUGGAUUCAGUCAAGAGUCCACACCACCUCACAAAACUUCCCUCUCCUUUCUGUGCUCCUGUAACUCACCAGUGCAGUACAAGGUAGAGUCUUUCAUUGUGCCACCCUCUGAUGGAAGUAGCAGUGACUUCGUCUAGAUGCAGCAGGUGUGCUUCAGGAGGCCGCGUAGUAAAAUGCAGUGGCCCAUCAGAAUCCCCUGGAAGGCGACCCCCAGCCCCCAUGAGUUUCUGGUUCAGUAGAUCUGGGGUGGGGCCCAGGAAUUGGCCUUUUAACAAGUUUCCAGGGAUGCUGAUGCGGCUGGUCUGAGGACUACACCUGGAAAAACCCCGAUGCACGGAAAGCAGGUCAGCUUUACAAGUCAGGAAGCCUUGGUUCUCGUAUUGAGUCUACUCUCAGCCCACCAUGGGUCUGUGGACAAGUCCCUGGGCUGCAGUUUUCUCCUCUGUAAAGAAGGAGUAAUGACUCCUGCGGUGGCUGACCUAGGGUUACUUUGAGAAUAAAAUCUGAGCAUCUGUAGGAAAUCACUUAGCCCUUUUGGAAGGACCUAAAGCCUAUAAUUACUAUAGUGAGAAGAGUUCAAGGAAAGCAACUUGGAGAAGUUUUAAGAUGCAGACAUUCUGUGAAACACAGGCACACAGGUAGUGUUACGGCCAUGCUGAGAAGGGGCCAGCAACAAAGAGAUGGAAAGCUUUUAGAGAGAAAAGGUCAAAUGCCUUGCUUUGGUCACGUCCUGUAUGACAUAGCCAGGCCUUGUUACAUGUUAGAACGGGGUUUCUGAAACAUUCCUGGGAUGCAGAAUUCCCAGAGAUACUUAGAAAUAUACAGAAGCCAGAUGGGCCCAGGCCUAUCAAGGAGCCUAGACUUUCAGGUGAUUCUUCUUUUUCUUUUUUUUUUUUUAAUGGCAAAUAAUUGCUUAUUCCAGUUUCUUUCCAUUCUUUUUCAGAUUCUUUUCCCAUAUAGAUUAUCACAGAAUAUUGAGUAGAGUUCCCUCUUCUAUACAGCAGGUCCCUGUUGAGCAUCCAUUCCAUAUACCAGUGUGCAUGUGGCCAUUCCAAGCUCCCAGUCUUUCCCUCCCUGCCCCCAUCCCCUUUGGUAAUCACAGGUUUGUCUUCAAAGUCUGCUGCUCUCUUUCUGUUUUGUAAAUAAGUUCAUUUGUAUCUUUUUUUUCUUUUUUUUUAGGUUCCACAUGCAUGUGAUAGCAUCUAAUGUUUGUCUUUCCCUGGUUCCCUUCACUUAGCAUGAUAAUCUCGAGGUCCAUCCAUGUUGCUGCAAAUGGCAAUAUUUCAUUCUUUUUAAUGGCUGAGUAAUACUCCGUUGUAUAUAUAGAAUCAACCUAAAUGUCCUUUGAAAGAUGAAUGGAUAAAGAAGAUGUGGUACAUAUAUGCAGUGGGUGAUUCUUCAUACACUCCAGAGUUUGAGAACCAUUACAUCUGGGUUGACAAUACUCAAACCGGUUCCUGGCAACUUAAAAAGGAACUGACUCUAGACAGCAGUUCUCAACCUGUAUGCCCAUUGGGAUCACCCAAGGAGCCUUUCAGUCCCACUUACACAGGCCACUGUCCAGUUGAAAUGAAUCACAAUUUCUGGGGAUGGGGUCUGAGCAUCAAUACCAUCUUAAAAGCUCCUCAGUAAUUCAGAUUUGUAGUCCAGGCUGAGAACCACUGACUUUCAAAGAGUCCUCUGCCAUGACAUCAGCAAAUACAUUGUUUAUGUGUGUCUGCUCAUCUCUUUCCCACGUGGUACAGUAGGAACAUUGAGGACAGCCCUGGUGCCCAGAAACCAGCCCAGGGCCGUACACUGCUCUCCAUGCUCCAAGUGUGUUGGUUAGAAUUCUGAAUGAAUGAACCCCCUGUUUAUAUACAAGCGACCUGCCAAGAGAACUCAGGCCAGAAAGGCCCCACAUUUAAAUAUCUUGUACAAACACAGCCCCUGGUGGCAUUCAGGCCCUCACAGUGAGAGGGUAUUGAUUGAAGAAUUUGCAGAAUCAGCAUCCCAAGGAUAUCUGUUAAACAAUCUGUAGGACUGGAGUCCACUGCCAGUUGUAAUUUACUCCUCUGGGGAGAUGAGGAGUCCGGGGAAUGUUUGCCUUGCAGACCUUUGAGAACACCCAGGGAGGAAGCCAAUUAACACACAGUGAAGACCUACUAUGUGCUAGCCGUUUCCAUGUGCUCUCCCCUCCGGACAAACUUGCAUUCUCCCUGUCUGUCCCCAAGGGAGAAAUGGCAGCAGGUUGCCCCAGGUGGCAAGUGUGAAGGAGCUUGUUUGAUUCCAGAGCCCAAAUUCCUUUCCCAUAUUGAUUUUGCCACCACUCAGAUUUUCUGUAGCCACCCCUGCUCCCUCCAUCCCUUGCCUCCCCCUGCAGAGCUCCUGGCCAGAUACCUUGUUCCUCCUGGGCACGCAGGACUCCUCCCAGAGUGAAGUUUCAAGUUUCCCUGGGAAGUUCUUGCUGACUCCACGCCUUGACCGUGGGCCCAAUCCCCUUCACAACCGAUUGGGUUGCCGCCUCCCUCCUGGUGUCCUAUGCUGACCGUGAGGCUUAUCCUCAGAGCUCUGUGAGCAGCCAUUAACUUGGCUGUUCCUCUCUGUGGACAGGAGGCUCCUUGAGGGCAGGCACCGUGUCUUGCUCCUUCUUCUGUUCCCUUCGCCCCGUGUACUUGCUCGCCCUCUGGAGGCACCCAGCACUUUUUAAAACAAAAACAAAAACCAAAAAA
This 6531-nucleotide long non-coding RNA is filed under the name Sus scrofa (pig). RNAcentral describes it as "lncRNA (ENSSSCG00055024192.1)". The record is from RNAcentral. Lineage: Eukaryota; Metazoa; Chordata; Mammalia; Artiodactyla; Suidae.